This 509-nucleotide long non-coding RNA is filed under the name Naja naja (Indian cobra). RNAcentral describes it as "lncRNA (ENSNNAG00000003475.1)". Lineage: Eukaryota; Metazoa; Chordata; Lepidosauria; Squamata; Elapidae. The record is from RNAcentral.
CCGUUUAGCAACCUGUCUUGCCACAGCUGUUAAGUGAAUCAAUGAGUCAGUUGCCAAGCGUCUGAAUUUUGAUCUCAUGACUACAGGGAUGCUACAAUCAUCGUGUCUUACAUUGGCCAGGACUGCAAAGCAAUUCCAGAAUUCCUUGGGACAAAAUACGGACACAUCGCAAAAAGGCUGGACCUCAGCUUCAAUUUAUUAAGAUGUUUAUUGUGGACCAACUGAAAUUAUGGAUUGGAUUGAGACAGACCUAUCUCUUCUUGAAAGUCUGAAGUGAUGAAGCUACCACAACUUCCAAAGGCAACUUCUUUUCCAUUGGUUGACUGUUCUAGUAUUUUACCUGAUCAUUCUCAUAUUCUCCCCUCCAUUGUCUUUCUUGAUAUGUGUUGGAUCUGAGGAUUUAGAAAGCUGUUGCUUCUCAGAUUCAAGUUUUUGUCUCUCCCUACAAUUCUAUGAAUUGAGUAAAAAGUUAACCAAGGUGUAGUCAUUUGUAUUACAGUCCCAGGCCA